This 500-nucleotide ribosomal RNA is filed under the name uncultured bacterium. RNAcentral's name for it is "bacterial SSU rRNA". It matches the Rfam family "Bacterial small subunit ribosomal RNA", at positions 190 to 696 of the family's 1533-position model. The record is from RNAcentral.
CAGUUUGCCGAAUAAAGCCGUAAGGCGCUUUGAGAGGAGCCCGCGUCCCAUCAGGUAGUUGGUGAGGUAAUGGCCCACCAAGCCGAUGACGGGUAGCUGUUCUGAGAGGAAGAUCAGCCACACUGGCACUGAGAUACGGGCCAGACUCCUACGGGAGGCAGCAGUGAGGAAUAUUGCACAAUGGACGAAAGUCUGAUGCAGCGACGCCGCGUGAGCGAUGAAGGCCUUCGGGUCGUAAAGCUCUUUUAGCAGGGACCAGUGAGGACGGUACCUGUUGAAUAAGUCUCGGCUAACUACGUGCCAGCAGCCGCGGUAAAACGUAGGAGGCGAAGCGUUAUCCGGAUUCACUGGGCGUAAAGCGUGCCGUAGGCGGUUGGGUAAGUUCGGACGUUAAAGCCCCUGGCUUAACUAGGGGAGGUCGUUUCGAUACUUGCUUGGCUUUGAGGAUGAAAGAGGAAAAGCGGAAAUUCCCCGAUGUAGCCGGUGGAAUGCGUUAAAGA